AGACGGGCGCGGGCGUUCGGCCACUGCCGCUCGAAGACUCACUGGGGCCGCUGUCCUCCAUGGUGUCCGCGUCCGUGUCUGCGUGAGGGAAAGAGAGAGCCCCGGCUCCCCCCUCCUUCUCUAACCGCCACCGCCGCCGCCGCUGUGGGAAACCGACAAAAAAGAGGAAACCGCCGCCGCCGCCAGCCGCCCACCGCCGUGAGCGAAGGGAUGGAAAGGCGGGACGGCCGGAUGAGUGACAACGCAGCCCCUCCAAUCGCCGCCCACGGCGCCCUGACUGACGUGGGCCUGCACCAAUAGGCGGCCGGAUCCCGCCCACUAACAACGAUGGACAUACCGGACAUCCAAUCAGACCUGGGCACCCGUGAAGGACACCGCACCUCAACGCGCCCACCCAUGUCCGCUCCCAGCCAAUGGACACGGUGCCAGCCUGAAUGAUGGCGAUCGGGGCCAAUCGGAAAUACGGGGAGUCAGUGAUGAAGGGCAGGGCAGACCAAUAGGUGACGGAGGGCACCACUGUUUACGAUACGAAAGCCAGUUUAGCUCAAAGCAAUUCCUACCGCCAUCCUGCAUCAUCCCCGCCAUUCGGAUUUCAUCUGGGAGGGGUGCCCCACCAUUGAUUAUUCUUGUUGGAAAGUACAUUUUAUCGGCGAUAUCGAGCUUCUUAACACCUAUCGGGGUGAGUUGUCCCAUUUUCAGAUCCGUUUUCAAGCUCC
Molecule: long non-coding RNA, 716 nt
Organism: Stegostoma tigrinum
Lineage: Eukaryota; Metazoa; Chordata; Chondrichthyes; Orectolobiformes; Stegostomatidae
Exons: 3
Source: RefSeq, a predicted model, not a curated record